Leptonychotes weddellii (Weddell seal) is the source of this 263-nucleotide non-coding RNA. Lineage: Eukaryota; Metazoa; Chordata; Mammalia; Carnivora; Phocidae. The record is from RefSeq and is a predicted model, not a curated record.
CGGCGGCGCGGAGGAGCUGCGCGGAGGAGCUCCGCCUCGGUCUCGCGAAAUGGAGCGAGACUACGGAAGCCGGAAGCGCUGGGCUAAGCAGUUCCUGAGCUAAGGGCUGCUUACCGUUCUGAGGCCUUGGAGAUACAAAGAUGAAAACAACUGAUUCUUGAGUGGUGCACAGUCCAAUAGAGGAUCAGACAUAAGAAGAAAUGGGGCACAUUAUGAAUACACCUGUAGCUGCAUGAAAAUUUACUAAGAAGACAGAAAACCUG